UACGAAGGGGGCUAGCGUUGCUCGGAAUUACUGGGCGUAAAGGGAGCGUAGGCGGACAUUUAAGUCAGAGGUGAAAUCCCGGAGCUUAACUUCGGAACUGCCUUUGAUACUGGGUGUCUUGAGUGUGAGAGAGGUAUGUGGAACUCCGAGUGUAGAGGUGAAAUUCGUAGAUAUUCGGAAGAACACCGGUGGCGAAGGCGGCCAACUGGUCCGACACUGACGCUGAGGCGCGAAAGCGUGGGGAGCAAACAGG
Molecule: ribosomal RNA, 253 nt
Filed under: uncultured bacterium
Lineage: Bacteria
Description: partial 16S ribosomal RNA
Rfam family: Bacterial small subunit ribosomal RNA
Source: RNAcentral